UCAUGGGCGAUGGCCUGAACCAGCCAAGUAGCGUGAAGGAUGACUGCCCUAUGGGUUGUAAACUUCUUUUAUAAAGGAAUAAAGUCGGGUAUGCAUACCCGUUUGCAUGUACUUUAUGAAUAAGGAUCGGCUAACUCCGUGCCAGCAGCCGCGGUAAUACGGAGGAUCCGAGCGUUAUCCGGAUUUAUUGGGUUUAAAGGGAGCGUAGAUGGAUGUUUAAGUCAGUUGUGAAAGUUUGCGGCUCAACCGUAAAAUUGCAGUUGAUACUGGAUGUCUUGAGUGCAGUUGAGGCAGGCGGAAUUCGUGGUGUAGCGGUGAAAUGCUUAGAUAUCACGAAGAACUCCGAUUGCGAAGGCAGCCUGCUAAGCUGCAACUGACAUUGAGGCUCGAAAGUGUGGGUAUCAAACAGGUUAGAUACCCUGGUAGUCCAAGGGCGAAUUC
This 441-nucleotide ribosomal RNA is filed under the name uncultured bacterium. RNAcentral's name for it is "SSU rRNA". It matches the Rfam family "Bacterial small subunit ribosomal RNA", at positions 369 to 808 of the family's 1533-position model. The record is from RNAcentral.